This 76-nucleotide transfer RNA is filed under the name Megasphaera hexanoica. Its description in RNAcentral is "tRNA-Trp". It matches the Rfam family "tRNA". Rfam says of the family: Transfer RNA (tRNA) molecules are approximately 80 nucleotides in length. Their secondary structure includes four short double-helical elements and three loops (D, anti-codon, and T loops). The record is from RNAcentral. Lineage: Bacteria; Bacillati; Bacillota; Negativicutes; Veillonellales; Veillonellaceae.
AGGAGUGUAGCUCAACUGGUAGAGCGAUGGUCUCCAAAACCAUAUGUUGAAGGUUCAAGUCCUUUCGCUCCUGCCA